This 432-nucleotide ribosomal RNA is filed under the name uncultured bacterium. RNAcentral describes it as "partial 16S ribosomal RNA". It matches the Rfam family "Bacterial small subunit ribosomal RNA", at positions 29 to 507 of the family's 1533-position model. The record is from RNAcentral.
AACGAACGCUGGCGGCAUGCCUAACACAUGCAAGUCGAACGAGACCUUCGGGUCUAGUGGCGCACGGGUGCGUAACGCGUGGGAACCUGCCCUUAGGUUCGGAAUAACUCCCCGAAAGGGGUGCUAAUACCGGAUAAUGUCUUCGGACCAAAGAUUUAUCGCCUUUGGAUGGGCCCGCGUUGGAUUAGCUAGUUGGUAGGGUAAAAGCCUACCAAGGCGACGAUCCAUAGCUGGUCUGAGAGGAUGAUCAGCCACACUGGGAGUGAGACACGGCCCAUACUCCGCGGAGGGGAAGCGGUGGGGAUUAUUGCAUAAAGGGCGAAGGACUGAACACGCACGGCCGGGUAGGAUGAGAAGGCAUAUGGUUUGGAAAACGCUUUUACCCGGAAUGAUAAUUCCAGAACGGGAGAAAAAAGCCCGGCUUACCCCAGA